AUUUGGUUCCUGAAGAGGGUCAUCUACAUUGACCGCAAGAAAUGUUACGUAGUCGCGUCACAGUUAAUUUAUUUAUUUAUUUAUAUAUUCAAAUAAAUGGAAAUAUCCCAUUAAUUACAAUAAUUAUAAUGUAACUGUCGGUUGGUAUCUAGAAAAGAUAGCUUGGCAACUUUUUAACAUUAUGCAUUAUGGAUGGACGCUGGGAGUGCGUUUUUAAACGAAACAUAAGAAUAAAAGAAAGAAUCAGAGCUACGAUUUGAAUUUCAGGGCCGCUUAUCAAAGGUCUCGCCUACUUCCCAAUCGGUUCGGACCAGCGCGUUACAGUGGUGAAGCAAAUAGGCGUCUUAUACGAGGCAACAAAUCGUAAAUCGUGAGCAGAGCGGCGCGCGUUUAUCCUCGAAAUCGCGAAUCGAAGCAGAAGCGGAUCGUUAAGCGGGGACGAGUGAGUCUAAUAGAGGUAACGCUUCAUCGAUUCCCGCUACGUCCCGGGGCACGGAGCGAGAAAGACCGGAACGAAAACGAGCGCGGCAUAGAUCCUGACCGAAUCGUCUCAGCGAGCGAAGUCUUACCUCGAAUCCAGCGACGAUUAUGGCUGUCCAAGUGUUUGGAUCGCGCGCAAUUCCCUGGAUCAUUCGAGAACGCCUCGAGAAUCGAACGCCGAAGACGACGUUUAGGUGGACC
Long non-coding RNA from Hylaeus anthracinus, 681 nucleotides. RefSeq lists it as uncharacterized. The record is from RefSeq and is a predicted model, not a curated record. NCBI's taxonomy places the organism in Eukaryota, Metazoa, Arthropoda, Insecta, Hymenoptera, Colletidae. The transcript is spliced from 3 exons.